AACUUAGGAUUUUUGACACUUUGACACACACUAUACAGCCUUGUGUGUGUGUGCAUGUACAAUUGAAUAAUUGCCAUGUAACACAUUAGCAACAUGAAGGUUGGGGCUGUCCAAAUAAACGAUUUCGCAGUAAAAUGUUUCGCAAUGAGACAUUUUACGCGACCCUAGCCUU
Bradysia coprophila is the source of this 172-nucleotide long non-coding RNA. The record is from RefSeq and is a predicted model, not a curated record. Lineage: Eukaryota; Metazoa; Arthropoda; Insecta; Diptera; Sciaridae.